This 760-nucleotide ribosomal RNA is filed under the name uncultured fungus. RNAcentral describes it as "eukaryotic LSU rRNA". It matches the Rfam family "Eukaryotic large subunit ribosomal RNA", at positions 37 to 653 of the family's 3401-position model. Lineage: Eukaryota; Fungi. The record is from RNAcentral.
AGCAUAUCAAUAAGCGGAGGAAAAGAAACUAACAAGGAUUCCCCUAGUAACGGCGAGUGAAGCGGGAUGAGCUCAAAUUUAAAAUCUGGCUGGUUUACUAGUCCGAAUUGUAGUUUAUAGAAGCGUUUUCGGUGGCAGCCUGGGUAUAAAUCCUUUGGAAUAGGGUAUCAUAGAGGGUGAGAAUCCCGUCUUUGACUCAGUGCAUGCUACUAUGUGAUACGUUUUCAAAGAGUCGAGUUGUUUGGGAAUGCAGCUCAAAAUGGGUGGUAAAUUUCAUCUAAGGCUAAAUAUUGGCGAGAGACCGAUAGCGAACAAGUACCGUGAGGGAAAGAUGAAAAGAACUUUGAAAAGAGAGUUAAACAGUGCGUGAAAUUGUUGAAAGGGAAACGCUUGACACCAGUUAUGCGGGUGGAAAAUCAGUCUUUUGCAAUGGGGAGUUGUGGGCGUUCAGACCGCAAGGCUGGCGUUUGCUUCAUCUUUGUUGUAAGUGAUGCACUUUUUCAUUUGCAGGUCAACAUCAGUUUGCUUUGCUGGACAAAACCCCAAGGGAAGGUGACAGCUUAGGCUGUGUUAUAGCCCUGGGGCGAUACAGUGGAGUGGACUGAGGUUUCGCAGUGUGUGCUCUCGGGCAAGGCUGACUGGGUGCUAUGGGAUCGUUCGGCGUACAAUGCAUGCAUUUUGCGUCGUGUCUUUUUCAUACUCGCUCAACUCGGCUCUUCCACGCUUAGGAUGUUGACUUAAUGGUUUUAAUCGACCCGUC